This 444-nucleotide ribosomal RNA is filed under the name uncultured bacterium. RNAcentral's name for it is "partial 16S ribosomal RNA". It matches the Rfam family "Bacterial small subunit ribosomal RNA", at positions 354 to 796 of the family's 1533-position model. The record is from RNAcentral.
GUGGGGAAUAUUGGGCAAUGGGCGAAAGCCUGACCCAGCAACGCCGCGUGAAGGAAGAAGGUUUUCGGAUCGUAAACUUCUUUUGCAGGGGAAUAAAGUGCAGGACGUGUCCUGUUUUGUAUGUACCCUGAGAAUAAGGAUCGGCUAACUCCGUGCCAGCAGCCGCGGUAAUACGGAGGAUCCGAGCGUUAUCCGGAUUUAUUGGGUUUAAAGGGUGCGUAGGUGGUUUGAUAAGUCAGCGGUGAAAGUUUGCAGCUUAACUGUAAAAAUGCCGUUGAAACUGUCGGACUGGAGUGUAAAUGAGGUAGGCGGAAUGCGUGGUGUAGCGGUGAAAUGCAUAGAUAUCACGCAGAACUCCGAUUGCGAAGGCAGCUUACUAAGCUACAACUGACACUGAAGCACGAAAGCGUGGGGAUCAAACAGGAUUAGAUACCCCGGUAGUCC